CCUACGGGGGGCUGCAGUGGGGAAUAUUGGACAAUGGGCGAAAGCCUGAUCCAGCCAUGCCGCGUGUGUGAAGAAGGCCUUCGGGUUGUAAAGCACUUUCAGUGGGGAAGAAAGCCUUGGGGCUAAUACCCUCGAGGAAGGACAUCACCCACAGAAGAAGCACCGGCUAACUCCGUGCCAGCAGCCGCGGUAAUACGGAGGGUGCGAGCGUUAAUCGGAAUUACUGGGCGUAAAGCGCGCGUAGGCGGUCUGAUAAGCCGGUUGUGAAAGCCCCGGGCUCAACCUGGGAACGGCAUCCGGAACUGUCAGGCUAGAGGGCAGGAGAGGAAGGUAGAAUUCCCGGUGUAGCGGUGAAAUGCGUAGAGAUCGGGAGGAAUACCAGUGGCGAAGGCGGCCUUCUGGACUGACACUGACGCUGAGGUGCGAAAGCGUGGGUAGCAAACAGGAUUAGAUACCCGUGUAGUC
RNAcentral lists this ribosomal RNA (465 nucleotides) under Vreelandella stevensii. RNAcentral describes it as "partial 16S ribosomal RNA". It matches the Rfam family "Bacterial small subunit ribosomal RNA", at positions 338 to 795 of the family's 1533-position model. The record is from RNAcentral. Lineage: Bacteria; Pseudomonadati; Pseudomonadota; Gammaproteobacteria; Oceanospirillales; Halomonadaceae.